Molecule: ribosomal RNA, 365 nt
Filed under: uncultured bacterium
Lineage: Bacteria
Description: partial 16S ribosomal RNA
Rfam family: Bacterial small subunit ribosomal RNA
Source: RNAcentral
CCUACGGGAGGCAGCAGUGGGGAAUAUUGCGCAAUGGGCGAAAGCCUGACGCAGCGACGCCGCGUGAGGGAUGAAGGUCUUCGGAUCUGUAACCUUCUUCAGCAGGGAAGAACUGUCACUGUGCUAAUCAGCAGUGAAUUGACGGUACCUGCAAAGGAAGCACCGGCUAACUCCGUGCCAGCAGCCGCGGUAAAACGGAGGGGGCGAGCGUUAAUCGGAAUUACUGGGAGUAAAGCGCUCGUAGGCGGUAUGUCAAGUCCAGGGUGAAAUCCUCGCGCUCAACGUGGGAACUGCUUUUGAAACUGGCAAACUGGAGUGUGUGAGAGGAUAGUGGAAUUCCAGGUGUAGGGGUGAAAUCCGUAGAU